UACGAAGGGGGCUAGCGUUGCUCGGAAUUACUGGGCGUAAAGGGCGCGUAGGCGGCGCUGCUAGUCAGGCGUGAAAUUCCCGGGCUCAACCUGGGGGCUGCACUUGAUACGUAUGGACUGGAGUGGGGAAGAGGGUCGUGGAAUUCCCAGUGUAGAGGUGAAAUUCGUAGAUAUUGGGAAGAACACCGGUGGCGAAGGCGGCGACCUGGUCCUUGACUGACGCUGAGGCGCGAAAGCGUGGGGAGCAAACAGG
Molecule: ribosomal RNA, 253 nt
Filed under: uncultured bacterium
Lineage: Bacteria
Description: partial 16S ribosomal RNA
Rfam family: Bacterial small subunit ribosomal RNA
Source: RNAcentral